UCUGCUGGCGUCAAUGCAGUUCAAAGGGUUCAUUGAGCUCCUUUCUCCCUUUUCUCCUUUCAUUUUUAGUGAAGGGGUUAUUUUUUUUGCCAUUUACUUCAUGCAUUCCAGCCACCAAUCCUUCACAUUUUAUAUCCUUUGCAAGGAAGUGUAAACAGUGUUGGCAAAGCAGGCCAUCUAAUUUUACAUGGACUUGGGAGUAUGAACAUGCGAAAGGUUUUUCAUGAAAAAGGAGUAAACAGGGUGGAAAUGUGUGAAUGAAAUAUCGGUGACGUCAUAGAGGGGGGAGGUUUGCAAAAGAAGCGCCUCCGCAGCCGAAAACUGCGCACAAUGAGACAAAUAGCCACUUUUGUUUUUAUUAUCUCAAGUUUCUGCUUGGAUUCAGGGGGUAAGAUUCACUUUAUUUCGCUUCUUUUGGGUUCUUGGAGCUUUUCAAAAGUUUCCCAGCAUUUGUUGAAUGUUGAAAAUGUUUAUGAUCUUCGCAUUGGUUUAUUUCCUAAACGUAAGAUCAUUCCAAUAUGACCGUAAUGUUGUUUGAAUGAACCUAAGAUGGGUAGUUUUUAAACCCCUUCUUAUUUUUCAGAUGUUUUCUCACAAGGAAUUCACAGUUCAGUUUGAUACCAAAUGCGCCAUUUGUUACUAAACCCGCUAAUCCGGGUGUGUUUGGGCAUCUGAAACUCCUUAACUUCGAUGAAUGGUUUCGCUAAAUGAGCCGAUCCAUCUCUCGCUGCCAAGUUGUUCAAAUCCGGUCAUUUCAGGUCAGUGAGAAGCAGCUUCUAGAGGGGGGAGGGCAGCUCUCAGCAUCCAAACACUGCAGCCAGUGACUUUCUGCACGAACUUUAGUUAAACAAAUUAAUAAAUAUUGGCCACCGUCCAGGUUUGAAAGUGACUCACCUGCAGGAGCGGGUGAAGACAUUCCCCCCCCCCCCCGUCACGUGAAUGAAUGAGAUGGCACAGGGCGGACCGAACGUCCCCCCCCCAUGGAGCAAACGUGGGGGAAAGAAGAGAUUCCGUCGGCUGGACGUGGAGGCUGCCGACGCUUCAGGUUGGGAUGCAUGUUUGGGCCGACUUUUAAACCGGCCGCAUGAAUCAAAGAGAUUUGUUUUGUUGUUGUUUUUUCCGCGGAUGAAUAUUUUAUAUACGGUAACGUAAGAAGCGGCAGCGUGAAGGACAGGCUGGCUGCGUUUUUUUUUUUAAAUGUGCCAUGGAGAAUCAUCAACAGGCGGGUCCGAAUAGUUGAGGCACCGUUGUUCAUUUUCAUCUUCCACAAAAUGCUGCGUCAAUUUGAUGCUUUCGCCGCACGAAUCAGAAAAGCGUUUUUUGGUAAUAACGUUGUCCAAUAGUCGAGAUCUCAUUGGUGGAUCCGAACCCAACCCCCCCCCCCUGCACGUCCUGCAGCCAUUACCGUGGCUCCUCAAACCAUGUGGCAUUCUUGGCCCAGACCCCCAUCAUACUCUCAGAAACCCCCCCCCCCCCCCCCCAAACACACACCUCUUUCGCUCUUGUCACAAGUUCCAACUAUUAAAAACCAUCAAGCAUUUAAAAAACACACACUAAUGUAAUACUGUAAGUGAGGAACCUCAAAGCCACCCAACUGAUCUGACGUCGGUUAUUCACUGCCUAUCGGCCGUGUGUCCUAACAGCGCCGUGUAGGCUACAAGUAAAACUGUUCCCAGACCAGUGACUGGGGGGACUUGCCGUGAAUAGCGACACCCGUCGGCUCGCUGCGGACAAUCACUUGCACGGUGCUGCUCACCAAACGCGGUUUGAAAACUGAUGCUUAUUAUUUCAUACAUAUUUAAUAACUAUUAUGAGUUCAUAAAGGAAAUGAAAAGCGAGGUAUUUAAGUAAUACGAACUUAUAUUUACGAAUCACAAUGAGUUUGUUUGAACUAUAAUGGGGAGGUGGGAAUCCGCUCAUCCGGUUGACGGGUUCGCCAUGUUGGAAAAAAGUCGAAAAGUGUGAUGCUGUUCAAUAUUUGACACCUCGCGGGAAGUUUUACGUUUUAACGAAUAGUUUCAACUACAGAAAACGUAUAAAAUUAUACAUGUACAAACGUUGAAACGAUAACAUUGGCAAGUGGGCGGGAGUUAGUUCAUUAAUACUUUUCCGCUGAGCUAUAUAGUUCCUCAGGAAUCAUCGAGCUUUCAUUUCCGGUUAGCGCAUUGAUAUUUCCGUGGGGUCACAGGUGUGUGCGUGUGUGUGUGUGUGUGUGUGCGUGUUUGUGUGUGCGCGCGCGCGCGCUCAUUGGUUGCUUGAGAAAGUCUUCAAACGUGUCAGCCAAUAACAAAUCACCUGUUUCAAAAUACUUUUUUAGACAGAAAAGGUCUAUCAACUAUUUCAGACUCAAGGUCUAUAUAAACUUAUACACACACACACACACACACACACACACACACACACACACACAUAUAAAAAUAAAAAUAAGGCUUUAAAGGAUUUAAUACCGAUUUUACCGGGUGGCCGAGCGCCCCCUGGUGGGUCAUCGUGCUCUCCUGCAAUCCCGCACGUAUGCAUUGCUAAUGUGUGGUACGAUGAUUAAAGGGGGAGUGGGCUUUUAUUGGUCA
Non-coding RNA from Gasterosteus aculeatus aculeatus (three-spined stickleback), 2567 nucleotides. Lineage: Eukaryota; Metazoa; Chordata; Actinopteri; Perciformes; Gasterosteidae. The record is from RefSeq and is a predicted model, not a curated record.